RNAcentral lists this ribosomal RNA (292 nucleotides) under uncultured bacterium. RNAcentral's name for it is "partial 16S ribosomal RNA". It matches the Rfam family "Archaeal small subunit ribosomal RNA", at positions 455 to 747 of the family's 1478-position model. The record is from RNAcentral.
GUGCAGCAGCCGCGGUCAUACCGGCAGCCCGAGUGAUGACCGAUCUUAUUGGGCCUAAAGCGUCCGUAGCUGGCUACGCAAGUCCGUCGGGAAAUCCACUCGCCCAACGAGUGGGCGUCCGACGGAAACUGCAUAGCUUGGGACCGAAAGGCUCGAAGGGUACGUGCGGGGUAGGAGUGAAAUCCCAUAAUCCCGCACGGACCACCGAUGGCGAAAGCACUUCGAGAAAACGGAUCCGACAGUGAGGGACGAAAGCCAGGGUCUCCAACCGGAUUAGAAACCCGGGUAGUCC